RNAcentral lists this ribosomal RNA (468 nucleotides) under uncultured bacterium. RNAcentral describes it as "partial 16S ribosomal RNA". It matches the Rfam family "Bacterial small subunit ribosomal RNA", at positions 28 to 507 of the family's 1533-position model. The record is from RNAcentral.
GACGAACGCUGGCGGCGUGCUUAACACAUGCAAGUCGAACGGAAAGGCCCUGCUUUUGUGGGGUGCUCGAGUGGCGAACGGGUGAGUAGCACGUGAGUAACCUGCCCUUGACUUUGGGAUAACUUCAGGAAACUGGGGCUAAUACCGGAUAGGAGCUCCUGCUGCAUGGUGGGGGUUGGAAAGUUUCGGCGGUUGGGGAUGGACUCGCGGCUUAUCAGCUUGUUGGUGGGGUAGUGGCUUACCAAGGCUUUGACGGGUAGCCGGCCUGAGAGGGUGACCGGCCACAUUGGGACUGAGAUACGGCCCAGACUCCUACGGGAGGCAGCAGUGGGGAAUAUUGCACAAUGGGCGGAAGCCUGAUGCAGCAACGCCGCGUGCGGGAUGACGGCCUUCGGGUUGUAAACCGCUUUCGCCUGUGACGAAGCGUGAGUGACGGUAAUGGGUAAAGAAGCACCGGCUAACUAUGUG